UGUGGCGGUGUGCCAGGUCUUGGCCCCACUAAGAAAAACCCCUUUUGCCCCAAGGUGCAAGUGCUGGUGAGACCAUCACUGAUAUCCAGAGCUCCACAGGUGAGGACAAGCUUGAGGGUGUUACGGCUGCAUGGGCAUGUCCUGCUCCCUGCCUCUCCCCAUCACACCCCGCUGCCCUCACACCCUCUCUCCCCCAGCUCCCCAUGCCCGGAUCCCGCACACACUCCCCACAGGCACGGUGCUGGCAGUGGCAGCCGUCGGCCUUGUCCUCCUGUCUGCAGGCAGCUGGUUUGCCAUCAGGAAAUGUGCCUGCAGAGGGAGAUGCCCAAGGCAUCAGCACAUUGACAGACCACAGAUGGAAGACACCAGCAACGGCGAAGUCCAGUGUGAGUACUACCUCCUCCCUUGGGGGAAGCCACAUGCCCCUCUGACCAUGGUCACCCCUGCUUAUGCAUUCCCCAUGCAAUCCCACCACUUCAUCUCCCACUGGGACAUACAAAAUCCCUGCCCGUUCAUCAAGACCAGGUUUCUCUCCAGCACCUCAUGUCCUGCUUCUUCCUUGCAUGCAGAGUGCGUGCGGCUGCACAAGGGACAUGGCAGCAUCCCAGUGCUCCCAGGGACAAAGCCCAUUUGCUUGGGGGAUCCUUCCACACCAGCUCCGGCCUCAGGCAGCAUUUCCCCUGCUUCAGCCUCUGCUUUUGUCCUUUCUUCAGUUUCCUGUCAGAGGAAUUUCUGCUCAGAGAAGCAAAAAGCACCGCGCAGCAAUGAAAGAUGUGGCUCCUUGCCCUGGUGGGGAAAGCAUUUUAUAGUUUGCUCUGAAACCACAAGCAGCACCAAAGAGAGGAUGUUGUGGUUGGGUGACAGGCUAUAGAUAUAUCCCCACCCUACUUGCACCUCGCUCAUGUUGCAGCACAACCUUGUUUUCCCACGCCUGCACAGAGCAGCUCGCAAGGUGUGCUGGCUGUGCAAAGAGAGGAGAUUCCACAGAAAGCUGGAAAUACACCAAAACCUCAGCAUCUCUGCUCCAUCGCUGCUGCUUAAUUUUCAUCCCAGAUCAGGGUGAUGGGAGAGGAAAUGUGGCCAGGCAUUGAGAGCUGACCUCAGGCAGCUGCUGACCAAGGUCAGUGUGAGUUUCAGCCCUCCACCAACAGGCAGCAAGGGAUCAUGGUGUGUUUUUUUUGCCCUCACAGACUCCACCAUCACCCACGUUCGAUGGGACAGGGUGAGUCAUGGCACAGCUGUGCACAGCUCCUUUCUGCACUCCUGCAGCCUGGUGCACGCACAUUGUGCAGGGCUCACAGUCAGC
RNAcentral lists this long non-coding RNA (1306 nucleotides) under Anas platyrhynchos platyrhynchos (common mallard). Its description in RNAcentral is "lncRNA (ENSAPLG00000023574.1)". The record is from RNAcentral. Lineage: Eukaryota; Metazoa; Chordata; Aves; Anseriformes; Anatidae.